GCCGCGGUGGUGUAACUGGUAGCCACAAGAGACUUAAAAUCUCUCGACUUCGGUCAUGCGGGUUCGACCCCCGCCCGCGGCA
This 82-nucleotide transfer RNA is filed under the name bacterium. RNAcentral describes it as "tRNA-Leu". It matches the Rfam family "tRNA". From Rfam's summary of the family: Transfer RNA (tRNA) molecules are approximately 80 nucleotides in length. The record is from RNAcentral.